UACGGGGGGGGCAAGCGUUGUUCGGAAUUACUGGGCGGAAAGGGCUCGUAGGCGGCCAACUAAGUCAUACGUGAAAUCCCCCGGCUUAACCGGGGAACUGCGUCUGAUACUGGAUGGCUUGAGUUCGGGAGAGGGAUGCGGAAUUCCAGGUGUAGCGGUGAAAUGCGUAGAUAUCUGGAGGAACACCGGUGGCGAAGGCGGCAUCCGGGACCGAUACUGACGCUGAGGAGCGAAAGCCAGGGGAGCAAACGGG
This 253-nucleotide ribosomal RNA is filed under the name uncultured bacterium. RNAcentral describes it as "partial 16S ribosomal RNA". It matches the Rfam family "Bacterial small subunit ribosomal RNA", at positions 524 to 776 of the family's 1533-position model. The record is from RNAcentral.